This 380-nucleotide RNase P RNA is filed under the name Banduia mediterranea. Its description in RNAcentral is "RNase P RNA component class A". It matches the Rfam family "Bacterial RNase P class A". Rfam says of the family: Ribonuclease P (RNase P) is a ubiquitous endoribonuclease, found in archaea, bacteria and eukarya as well as chloroplasts and mitochondria. Its best characterised activity is the generation of mature 5'-ends of tRNAs by cleaving the 5'-leader elements of precursor-tRNAs. The record is from RNAcentral. Lineage: Bacteria; Pseudomonadati; Pseudomonadota; Gammaproteobacteria; Nevskiales; Algiphilaceae.
GGAGUCGGCCGAACAAUCGCUGUUGCCGCAAGGUGAUGGAGGAAAGUCCGGGCUCCGCAGGGCAGGGUGCCAGGUAACCCCUGGGGGGCGCGAGCCUACGGAAAGUGCCACAGAGAUCAGACCGCCUAAGCGCUUCGGCGCCGGUAAGGGUGAAAAGGUGCGGUAAGAGCGCACCGCGCGGCCGGCAACGGUUCGCGGCACGGUAAACCCCGCCUGGAGCAAGGCCAAAUAGGGAAGGACGGCGGCUUCGGCCGCCGACGCGUGGCCCGCGCGCCUUCCGGGUAGGCUGCUUGAGGUCUGCGGUGACGCAGAUCCCAGAGGAAUGAUUGUUUCGGAUCGCAAGAUCUAGACAGAACCCGGCUUACAGGCCGGCUCCCACC